Molecule: long non-coding RNA, 2051 nt
Filed under: Selaginella moellendorffii
Lineage: Eukaryota; Viridiplantae; Streptophyta; Lycopodiopsida; Selaginellales; Selaginellaceae
Description: long non-coding RNA (SMOE_LNC000283)
Source: RNAcentral
AAACUGAGCCUUGGUACUUCCCUUUUUUAAAUUUCCAUGUGCAAGUCUUAACUUGUAGCUGAACAGGAGUGUUUGCCAUCCCCAUAGUGGCUACAGCAGUGCUCGCUAUAGUAGUGUUCAUAGUAGUUAUAGCAGCAGUAACCACAGCAGUAGUAGUAGAUGUAGCAGUAGCAGUAGAUGUAGCAGCAGCAGCAGCAGGAGCAACAGCAGUAGUAAUAGCACCAACAGCAGUACCUGUAGUCAAAGCUAUCUUUGGUGCUUGCGGUAGUUUUGCAGGGACAUCUUCAUGUGCAGCAACAACAUUGUUUGCAGCAUAAUGUAUUCGCGCUAUCAAAUAGUUGCAUGCAACAUUCCGCAGAUGCUUGCAAAGAACAUGUGAAGCUCCUCCAUAAUUGAAAACACAUCCCGUGCUUGCACCAAAUGGGACGAUAUGUUCACUCUUCGCACCCGAAAUGACGUUCAUGAAUUUUCUCACUUGACUACAGUCUAGCGUCGAAAUGAAAGCCACUAGUCGGUCUUCAUAGCUGUCCAUUACUUCAUGUAGAUCUGUCUCAUUAUCUAUCAUCAGGAAUUUGAUGCAUUUUCCACACAUCUCAGAGUUCACAGCAUUUAGACCAAAAUGCCGGACUAAACAAGUGUACUCAUUAUCAGAGAGCUCAGGGCGGGCACAAAUGUGGGGGAUUCUACCAGACGCCUCUGGUGGCUGUAUCUCGGUUAAAUCUGUCACAAAGAGACUGAUAUGCAGAGAAAGGAUUGGUCUUAACGCUUUGUCCAUAACUCCUCCACCGUCAAUAAUGAAAAUAAUAGUCUCCGACAGAUCUGUCACCCAUUCGGCUAUUUUCUCCAUGUCCCUUCCAAUUCUAGCAAGGGACUCAAGCUUGAUAGGAUCAUGGAGGAAUGUAAAGACAAGAGAUGCGUAGAAAACAUCAGCUGGGAUGAGCUUAUAUUCCUGAUAUGGUAUCAGGCAUACAGGUUUUCUAGCAUCAAGGCCAUCUUUCACAGCUUCUGUCCCGUCAGGGCUUAAAUGCCUACCUCUGGCAUUUGUACCUUCUGAAGAAGAAGAAGCACCGACUUCUUCAAUUUGGCAUACAUUAACAGCGUCUUUCUGCAAAGACAUGGCACCGACUCCAUGCAGGUUAGUGUCCGUGUUCUCUACUCGUUCUGCAUCUUCUGGAGCUUUUAGCUUGUCAUUUGUAGCAUCAGGGCCUGAAUGCCCGGUCCGAGCAUGUGCUGCAGGGCAGCCUAAAUGCCACAAGUGGCAAAACAAUACAACUCCUAGAACCCGUUUGCCACACCCGGACGGGCCUCCAAGAACGAGUUUCUCUCUAGUUUGCAUUUUUGAGACCCUUUCUGCAACUUCUACAAAUUGUUCUCGCCCCAUGUAUCGCACCUGACCCACAAGAUGAAAUGCCGGGUAUGGGAACUCAAUGGGCUUGCCCGAGGGAUCUGCCAGAUUCUUGCCCCAGAACAAGCUGCAAAUCAGAUCUCCUGUCUCCCUGGAGAAGUUUAGGAUCUUUUGAUUCAUGGAAGAGAAGCCUAUGCGGAGUGGCCAAGCAGCAGCACCUGUCCUGUGUCGCACCCUAAGCCCUAAACCCUCUCGGUGGUGUCAAGAGGAGAGCACCUAAAUCAACUUCAUGGGCUCCGUGACACUGCCGCCUUUGUCACAAGCCUAGCACCUGCCGUGGAUGCAUCAACGGCACGGACGCCACACUCGUUGCCCUCCUCACGACGCAAAAGCGAUGCAAGGUAAGUCGUAGGGUAACCCCCCAGUCCAACUUGGCCGUGGCUUGCCGUCGUGAACGAGACCACCUCAAGUCUAGCAAGAACCACCCUGAGAAGCUAGCUCCUGCACGACACCUUCUCGCGACACAAAUAGCCUGACCUGACCUGUAAGUAUUGUUCUUUUAAGGACAAAAAGCAAAAAUAACGACAAACAAGCCCUGGAAUUGCGCAGCAACUUAACCCCCUGACUCACUGGUGAUUCUCCCGGAAGAGUGUAGGAAAGAUGGAAGCUGGCCAAGUUCCACAACUGGGCCACAACUAGGGCGGGG